AUUGAACGCUGGCGGCAGGCCUAACACAUGCAAGUCGAGCGAGCGGCGGACGGGUGAGUAAUGUCUGGGUAACUGCCUGAUGGAGGUGGGUAACGACUGGAAACGGUAGCUAAUACCCCAUACCAUCGGAUGUGCCCAGCGGGGGCUGGCUAGUAGGUGGGGGAACGGCUAACCUAGGCGACGAUCCCUAGCUGGUCUGAGAGGAUGACCAGCCACACUGGAACUGAGACAUGGUCCAGACUCCUACGGGAGGCAGCAGUGGGGAAUGUGGGACAAUGGGGGCAAGCCUGAUGCAGCCAUGCCGCGUGUGGGAAGAAGGCCGUCGGGUUGUAAAGCACUUUCAGCGGGGAGGCGUUACCCGCAGAAGAAGCACCGGCUAACUCCGUGCCAGCAGCCGCGGUAAUAC
Molecule: ribosomal RNA, 406 nt
Filed under: uncultured bacterium
Lineage: Bacteria
Description: partial 16S ribosomal RNA
Rfam family: Bacterial small subunit ribosomal RNA
Source: RNAcentral